GGUCAAGCGAACAAGUGCAUGUGGUGGAUGCCUUGGCGAUCACAGGCGAUGAAGGACGCGGUAGCCUGCGAAAAGUUGUGGGGAGCUGGCAACGAGCUUUGAUCCACAAAUGUCCGAAUGGGGAAACUGUAGUGGUUCACCCAACCUGGACACUUCGUCAGGCGCUUUGCGCUUUUACUACUUCGUACUCGGCAGGCGGCAAAUGCCCGAGAGCCGAAUGUAAGCUGCGCUGGUUGUAGAACAUCAGGAUGUAGUCCAGCACAUGGGCCUGCGCUUCUGCAUGGUCGCGAUACGCGCGAUCGUCAACGCACUCGCCCUUCAAACUACAAAAAAAUCGUUCCACCACUGCAUUGUCCCAGCAAUUGCCUGUACGGCUCAUGCAUCUGCCUGAUGCGAUGCUCGAUCAGAGACUGCUGGAAUGUGCCGCUCGCGUACUGACAGCCCUGGUCGGAAUGAAACAUCAACUCUGCCUCCGGGCGUCGGACCUCGAGCGCUAACUGCAGCGCCCGAAUCACUAAAAAGGUGUCGCACUUGUCCGAGCACGCCCAUCCCACCACGCCUCGAGAGAACAAAUCCAGCACUACCGCCAGAUACAACCAGCCUUGCUGCGUCCAGAUGUAGGUGACAUCGCCCGCCCAGUACCGAUUGGGCUCCGCGCAAAUGCUCGAUCAAGAUGGUUCGGUGCGAUCGUCGAACUCUGCUCGCGCUUCACAUAGCGAUGCGAUCGACACACG
RNAcentral lists this ribosomal RNA (734 nucleotides) under Candidatus Paraburkholderia kirkii UZHbot1. RNAcentral's name for it is "Large Subunit Ribosomal RNA, lsuRNA, LSU ribosomal RNA". The stretch from base 46 to 165 matches the Rfam family "Bacterial large subunit ribosomal RNA", at positions 46 to 180 of the family's 2925-position model. Lineage: Bacteria; Pseudomonadati; Pseudomonadota; Betaproteobacteria; Burkholderiales; Burkholderiaceae. The record is from RNAcentral.